Molecule: long non-coding RNA, 628 nt
Filed under: Androctonus crassicauda
Lineage: Eukaryota; Metazoa; Arthropoda; Arachnida; Scorpiones; Buthidae
Source: RNAcentral
GGACUUUGUGUCGCGCGUAGAACGAUGCGCGAGCCUGCUUGUCAUACUGGCGCUGCGCUUCCCGGCGCUAUUAUUUUUCUUCGCCAGAUUUUAAAACGGUGCUUUAAAAUGUGUUUGUGUACGUAUGCGCAGUAGGUUUCUCUCAUCUAAUGUUCCGUUUCCGCUAUAGGUGCAACAAUUGGGCAGAUCUUUCCACAUCUCUGCGGUAGAUUGGGAGGACGCCGGACCUAGCGGAACGCAAGGGGCAAACUGAGCCACCGUCUAUAUUUUACAGCUUUUACACAUUUUGUUUUAUUUCUGUUGGCAAUAAAGAGUUAUUUGCCGUAAUAAUUUGACUGACUUUGUUUUAACGUUUCUAGUAGGCAGGGGGAUGCGGCUGGUGGCCGGCCGACGGCGCUCGCGACGCGACAGUAAUCGCACAAUCUGCACGGCUCGCGAUGCGUGCGAAAUAAGAGAAACCCUUAUGUCUGUCUACGUAAUGGUCCGGGCAUGGCAGUUCGAUGUGAGCGUGCAGACUUUCAGAUACUGUUCAUUCUUUACUGUUCGUGCUUUACUGUACCCCUCAGGGCGGUUCCAUACCUGGUGAAUCUAUAUAUUAGUUUUGUUCUGUAGCCAGGCCUAGGGAGGC